GACGAACGCUGGCGGCGUGCUUAACACAUGCAAGUCGAACGGAAAGGCCCUGCUUUCGUGGGGUGCCCGAGUGGCGAACGGGUGAGUAACACGUGAGUAACCUGCCCUUGAUUUUGGGAUAACUUCAGGAAACUGGGGCUAAUACCGGAUAGGAGCCCCUGCUGCAUGGUGGGGGUUGGAAAGUUUCGGCGGUUGGGGAUGGAUUCGCGGCUUAUCAGCUUGUUGGUGGGGUAGUGGCUUACCAAGGCUUUGACGGGUAGCCGGCCUGGGAGGGUGACCGGCGACAUUGGGACUGAGAUACGGCCCAGAGUCCUACGGGGGGCAGCAGUGGGGAAUAUUGCACAAUGGGCGGGAGCCUGAUGCAGCGGCGCCGCGUGCGGGAUGACGGCCUUCGGGGUGUAAACCGCUUUCGCCUGUGACGAAGCGUGAGUGACGGUAAUGGGUAAAGAAGCACCGGCUAACUACGUG
RNAcentral lists this ribosomal RNA (468 nucleotides) under uncultured bacterium. Its description in RNAcentral is "partial 16S ribosomal RNA". It matches the Rfam family "Bacterial small subunit ribosomal RNA", at positions 28 to 507 of the family's 1533-position model. The record is from RNAcentral.